GAUGAAGAACGCAGCGAAAUGCGAUAAGUAGUGUGAAUUGCAGAAUUCCGUGAAUCAUCUAAUCUUUGAACGUACAUUGCGCCUUCUGGUAUUCCGGAAGGCAUGCCUGUUCGAGAGUCAUUAACAACCGUUUCGAUCCCUUUCUUUCAGAAAUUACAAAGAGGAAAAGGGUUUGGUUAUGGUGGAGGAGGGAAAGGGAGCGUUUAGCCUGUAAAAAAAGAGGCUGUGUUCCGCCUCCCCCCCAAAAUUGUACAGGCGGUCGUGUGCGCCCACGCAUCGAGGUGUUGUAAAAGCUGCCACGGCACUUUUCACCUGUGCAGUGCGAGAUUGGCCAGCCGGUUUAAAAACCCCUCCAAACAAUCAAAGGUUGACCUCGGAUCAGGUAGGGAUACCCGCUGAACUUAAGCAUAUCAAUAAGCGGAGGA
This 425-nucleotide unclassified non-coding RNA is filed under the name soil metagenome. Its description in RNAcentral is "partial contains 5.8S ribosomal RNA, internal transcribed spacer 2, and large subunit ribosomal RNA". The stretch from base 1 to 120 matches the Rfam family "5.8S ribosomal RNA", at positions 35 to 154 of the family's 154-position model. The record is from RNAcentral.